RNAcentral lists this long non-coding RNA (1086 nucleotides) under Canis lupus familiaris (dog). RNAcentral's name for it is "lncRNA (ENSCAFG00030009138.1)". The record is from RNAcentral. Lineage: Eukaryota; Metazoa; Chordata; Mammalia; Carnivora; Canidae.
AACUUUGUGACCCAGGCCAACAAGACCGGACUGUGUUUCGAGGAGAAGCUCCCACAGUCGCGCAGAGCACCCGCGGCUUCCCGGCCGGUCGCAGGACCAAGGGGCGACGAUUCCCCGCCCCCGCCGCUCUCAAGAGCACACCCUUUCCUCCGCCCCCCACGCCCGCCUCGGGGGAGCCCGCUAGCGAGCUGCCCCUGCACCUCGCUGACCCGCCCUGCGGCAGCCGGGUUCCUAUCCAGGCUCCCCCACCCCGGGCUGCAGAAGUCAGGGAGCUGGGGUGGCGAAAGAAGACGUAGCAGCGGCAGGGUGGGUCUGGACGCCGCCUCCUCCUCCGGUGGCACCUCGAUCCCCUACUUGCGCUUGACUCCUCCCCUGUCUCUGUUCCGCAGCGUCCUCGCCCUGUCAGCACGCUGCUGGGUGGCUGCACCUGCCGCCGACUCGGGAGGGGGGCCUCGGGGAAGGAGGAAGGGAGGCAGGUUUGGGGAGCGGCGCAGCAGGGUGGCGGCCUCGCCCCGCCUGCAGGCCCGCGCUCCCGCCGCCGCCCGCCGCCGCCGCCCGCCGCCGGCCGCCCGCCCCCAGCUGCCGCACCGAUGCGCUGUCCGCGGUGCUGACGCCCGCCGCCCGCCCGGCGGGAGCGGAGGAGACGCCCUCCUCCCCAGGUCGCCCGGAGCCGAGCGGCCCCGCCCCCAUUCCUGCCCAGGCGGGAUCCUUUCCCCCAAAGGAACCGUCAGAGACCCAGCGCCGCGGAAGGAUCCAGGAAGAAGCAGCGGGCAGGAGGGAACUUCAACUUGGGACUGCAGCCCGGGAGCCGGCUGCUGGAGGACUCGCGCCGUGUGGCCCCCAGCCCCCGAGACCGCAGCGCACAGCAAGUUGAGCAAAGUUUGGCGGCGGCUUGGAGAUACGGAAGGGACUCCGGAGCCAGCUCGGCGGGGCCGCGCAGGGCUCCCACCGCAGCCCGGACACCUGCUUCGGCGCCCGCAGUUAGUGCCGCCGGAACGGCCGGGAGGCGUCGCAGCAGCCCAGCUCCCCACCCCUUUCUUUCCAUCCUUAUCUCCCCCCCCAACACCCCGCCCCGGGCGCCGGUGA